AGCAGUCUGUCAUCAAGUUGACAAGUAAACCAAGCAACAGUAUUGGCGGCCCCAAAGAACAAGCUAUGUACUCACUAAGACAUCCAUCUCCACAGGAGCACCACUUUUAGAUAAAACAUAGACCAAAUAUGCAUCAGCAAGUCACCAUGGCAACAAAAUGAAUCAACAACAAAUCAUCGAAACUAUGUAUUUGAUAAAUACAUCUGCAAUAAUCAUCACAAA
Long non-coding RNA from Carcharodon carcharias (great white shark), 222 nucleotides. RefSeq lists it as uncharacterized. The record is from RefSeq and is a predicted model, not a curated record. Lineage: Eukaryota; Metazoa; Chordata; Chondrichthyes; Lamniformes; Lamnidae. The transcript has 3 exons.